This 465-nucleotide ribosomal RNA is filed under the name uncultured bacterium. RNAcentral's name for it is "partial 16S ribosomal RNA". It matches the Rfam family "Bacterial small subunit ribosomal RNA", at positions 338 to 795 of the family's 1533-position model. The record is from RNAcentral.
CCUACGGGAGGCAGCAGUGGGGAAUAUUGUUCAAUGGGCGAAAGCCUGACGCAGCGACGCCGCGUGAGGGAUGAAGGUCUUCGGAUCGUAAACCUCUGUCUGCAGGGAAGAACGGUCACUGUGCUAAUCAUCAGUGAAUUGACGGUACCUGCAAAGGAAGCACCGGCUAACUCCGUGCCACCAGCCGCGGUAAUACGGAGGGUGCGAGCGUUAAUCGGAAUUACUGGGUGUAAAGCGCUCGUAGGCGGUAUGUCAAGUCAAGGGUGAAAUCCCCGGGCUCAACGUGGGAACUGCAUUUGAAACUGGCAAACUGGAGUGUGUGAGAGGAUAGUGGAAUUCGAGGUGUAGGGGUGAAAUGCGUAGAUAUCUGGAGGAACAUCAGUGGCGAAGGCGACUAUCUGGCACAUAACUGACGCUGAGGAGCGAAAGCGUGGGUAGCAAACAGGAUUAGAUACCCUUGUAGUC